This is a non-coding RNA of Cladobotryum mycophilum, 102 nucleotides long. Lineage: Eukaryota; Fungi; Ascomycota; Sordariomycetes; Hypocreales; Hypocreaceae. The record is from the annotation of a GenBank genome assembly.
UGGACACACGGGGAAUUGAACCCCGGACCUCUCCCAAGCCUGUCACCUUCUCAGAAGGUAGAAAGAUGCUAAGGGAAAAUCAUACCACUAGACCAUGCGCCC